RNAcentral lists this ribosomal RNA (442 nucleotides) under uncultured Leptolinea sp. RNAcentral's name for it is "bacterial SSU rRNA". It matches the Rfam family "Bacterial small subunit ribosomal RNA", at positions 925 to 1382 of the family's 1533-position model. Lineage: Bacteria; Bacillati; Chloroflexota; Anaerolineae; Anaerolineales; Anaerolineaceae. The record is from RNAcentral.
ACAAGCAGCGGAGCGUGUGGUUUAAUUCGAGGCUACACGAAGAACCUUACCAGGGUUUGACAUGCAAGUGGUAGGAAUCCGAAAGGUGACCGACCCUUCGGGGAGCUUGCACAGGUGCUGCAUGGCUGUCGUCAGCUCGUGUCGUGAGAUGUUCGGUUAAGUCCGCUAACGAGCGCAACCCUCGUCGUGUGUUAUACGUGUCACACGAUACUGCCGGUAUCAAGCCGGAGGAAGUGGGGAUGAUGUCAAGUCAGCAUGGCCUUUAUAUCCUGGGCUACACACACGCUACAAUGGCAGAUACAAUAGGUUGCGAAACCGCGAGGUGGAGCCAAUCCUCAAAGUCUGUCUCAGUUCAGAUUGUAGGCUGCAACUCGCCUGCAUGAAGUUGGAGUUGCUAGUAAACGUGGAUCAGCAUGUCACGGUGAAUACGUUCCCGGGUCUU